RNAcentral lists this ribosomal RNA (510 nucleotides) under uncultured bacterium. RNAcentral's name for it is "partial 16S ribosomal RNA". It matches the Rfam family "Bacterial small subunit ribosomal RNA", at positions 28 to 507 of the family's 1533-position model. The record is from RNAcentral.
GACGAACGCUGGCGGCGUGCUUAACACAUGCCAGUCGAACGAAGAGCGAUGGAAGCUUGCUUCUAUCAAUCUUAGUGGCGAACGGGUGAGUAACGCGUAAUCAACCUGCCCCUCAGAGGGGGACAACAGUUGGAAACGACUGCUAAUACCGCAUACGAUCUAAUCUCGGCAUCGAGGAUAGAUGAAAGGUGGCCUCUACAUGUAAGCUAUCACUGAAGGAGGGGAUUGCGUCUGAUUAGCUAGUUGGAGGGGUAACGGCCCACCAAGGCGAUGAUCAGUAGCCGGUCUGAGAGGAUGAACGGCCACAUUGGGACUGAGACACGGCCCAGACUCCUACGGGAGGCAGCAGUGGGGAAUCUUCCGCAAUGGACGAAAGUCUGACGGAGCAACGCCGCGUGAGUGAUGACGGCCUUCGGGUUGUAAAGCUCUGUUAAUCGGGACGAAAGGCCUUCUUGCGAAUAGUGAGAAGGAUUGACGGUACCGGAAUAGAAAGCCACGGCUAACUACGUG